AAGUCUACUUGAUGUAUGGUCAAUCGUUGCUCGCCUAUCGGAAGGGGGAAACAAACAUGGCAACCAAAUUAGAGAACAAGCUACGACGAAAAUGUGAAGACCAUAAAAUACGUUUUGAGAUCACCCAGCUCGAUAUGUUGCGAACUUUGGUACGAGGUUGACCAAAAAAAUGUUGUCCUAGACUGACCCACAGACAAAUGUUAAUAUGUGUUUUAUGGUGGUAAAAAAGAAAGUAAUCGCCUCAAUGAAAACAUAACUAAUAUUCAUGACCAGUACUGUAAAUUUGCUUCAAAAAAUUAAAAUUUCUUGGUAAAUAAAUUGUGAUUUUCCCGGAAUUAAUCGACUACUGAAAGAUA
Molecule: non-coding RNA, 356 nt
Organism: Paramuricea clavata
Lineage: Eukaryota; Metazoa; Cnidaria; Anthozoa; Malacalcyonacea; Plexauridae
Source: the annotation of a GenBank genome assembly